This 498-nucleotide ribosomal RNA is filed under the name uncultured bacterium. RNAcentral describes it as "partial 16S ribosomal RNA". It matches the Rfam family "Bacterial small subunit ribosomal RNA", at positions 28 to 507 of the family's 1533-position model. The record is from RNAcentral.
GACGAACGCUGGCGGCGUGCCUAAUACAUGCAAGUCGAACGAGAGCGACCGGUGCUUGCACUGGUCAAUCUAGUGGCGAACGGGUGAGUAACACGUGGGUAACCUGCCCAUCAGAGGGGGAUAACAUUCGGAAACGGAUGCUAAAACCGCAUAGGUCUUCGAACCGCAUGGUUUGAAGAGGAAAAGAGGCGCAAGCUUCUGCUGAUGGAUGGACCCGCGGUGCAUUAGCUAGUUGGUGAGGUAACGGCUCACCAAGGCCGUGAUGCAUAGCCGACCUGAGAGGGUGAUCGGCCACAUUGGGACUGAGACACGGCCCAAACUCCUACGGGAGGCAGCAGUAGGGAAUCUUCCGCAAUGGACGCAAGUCUGACGGAGCAACGCCGCGUGAGUGAAGAAGGUUUUCGGAUCGUAAAACUCUGUUGUUAGAGAAGAAUAAGUGCUAGAGUAACUGUUAGCGCCUUGACGGUAUCUAACCAGAAAGCCACGACUAACUACGUG